CGGGACUCGUUCUCCUUCUGCUAUUCAGUCUGGUUUGGGACCAGAGGGUCGCAAGUUCGAAUCUUGCUGCCCCGACCA
RNAcentral lists this transfer RNA (78 nucleotides) under Labrenzia sp. EL_195. RNAcentral describes it as "tRNA-Ser". The record is from RNAcentral. Lineage: Bacteria; Pseudomonadati; Pseudomonadota; Alphaproteobacteria; Hyphomicrobiales; Stappiaceae.